GAUGAACGCUGGCGGCGUGCUUAACACAUGCAAGUCGAACGGAAAGGCUCCUGCUUGCCGGGGUACUCGAGUGGCGAACGGGUGAGUAACACGUGGGUGAUCUGCCCUGCACUUCGGGAUAAGCCUGGGAAACUGGGUCUCAUACCGGAUAGGACGAUGGUUUGGAUGCCAUUGUGGAAAGUGUUUUGGGUGUGGGGUGAGCUCGCGGCCUAUCAGCUUGUGGGUGGGGUGAUGGCCUACCAAGGCGUUGACGGGUAGCCGGCCUGUAAGGGUGUACGGCCACAUUGGGACUGAGAGGCGGCCGAGACGACUACGGGGGGCAGGAGUGGGGAAUAUUGCACAAUGGGCGCAAGCCUGAUGCAGCGACGCCGCGUGGGGGAUGACGGCCUUCGGGUUGUAAACUCCUUUCGCUAGGGACGAAGCGCAAGUGACGGUACCUGGAGAAGAAGCACCGGCUAACGACG
Molecule: ribosomal RNA, 464 nt
Filed under: uncultured bacterium
Lineage: Bacteria
Description: partial 16S ribosomal RNA
Rfam family: Bacterial small subunit ribosomal RNA
Source: RNAcentral